CUAAUGUAUUGUCAGUUGCGACGUCACUCGCCAACUUCAGAGCGGUGGGUUGUGGCUUCCCACUCACGUUUCGCGCUGAAAAUUACACCGAAUUUGGUUUUUCAUAUCAGCUGCAGUCUAAGAAAUUUUCCAAUUAUAAUAUCGAAAUAUAAGAAAAUUUUUUAAUAAUCCAUACAGCAGAAAGGGUUAAUACUUGGCUCGACAAGGGCGUGGCAGCGAUGUGAAUCUAUUUUCUACUUGCGUCAGCAUUAGCGACCGCUCGAUUAAGUUACAGGCUUCCAUUCUUUAUUUGGAGUUGCUAGGUGGUUUAGGCCCAGUCACGCAUGAAGCAAAAAGGAUUAAGAUCUUACGAGGCAUAGGAGGCUGCCAUGUAAUUCGGAGAUUUGUGGUGGCUGAUUCGUCAUUUGGAUAUACAUGACAUCGUCUUCAGACACCUGUCACAGUGCAAGACCGUGUGGAACAAGAUGAUUACAAAACCAAUAUAGAGUUCUCGAGCUUGCUAUAGUUACAUCCUGAAGAAACUGGAGAUUCAUGCAGUACGUGUUCGGCUGCACACAUUCAGUAUUCAGCGACAGCCCAUUGACACACCAUAAUGGAACCGAAAAGACUACCAGUUGAAAUGUCAUUUGCACUAGAUAGACCUGUUCUGCGAUGAAUGAUCUAUGAGACAUUAUAAGUGCAAAAAAAUUUUGUAACAUAUUUCUAAUUCUGAAGUUAUUAUCCCCAACACUACACCUAUAAAUCGAUAAAUAAUAAUGUAAGAAAAUUUCGUAAAUUUUAAUUUAUUGUUUCUGCAUGAACACUUACUUUUAAAAAAUUCAAUAAUAAAUCAACAGGAAAACUAA
Molecule: long non-coding RNA, 845 nt
Organism: Athalia rosae (coleseed sawfly)
Lineage: Eukaryota; Metazoa; Arthropoda; Insecta; Hymenoptera; Athaliidae
Exons: 5
Source: RefSeq, a predicted model, not a curated record